UGAGAAUGCCUUCCGGUACUGGGGUUUCAAGACUUCGACAAUCCUGAAUGUCCUAGGACAGAAGGCAUUUUCGCUGUUCACACGCCGAUCAGCCACUCACCCAUCCACGGAUUCAG
Molecule: small RNA, 116 nt
Filed under: Mycolicibacterium doricum
Lineage: Bacteria; Bacillati; Actinomycetota; Actinomycetes; Mycobacteriales; Mycobacteriaceae
Description: Mycobacterium doricum Actinobacteria sRNA Ms_IGR-7
Rfam family: Actinobacteria sRNA Ms_IGR-7
Source: Rfam by way of RNAcentral